Molecule: small nuclear RNA, 100 nt
Filed under: Phascolarctos cinereus (koala)
Lineage: Eukaryota; Metazoa; Chordata; Mammalia; Diprotodontia; Phascolarctidae
Source: RNAcentral
GUGUUUGCUUCUGCAGUACACAUGCAGAAUGAUAUAAAGAAGACUAGCAUAACCCCUGCACAAGGAUGACAUGCAAAUUUGCAAAGCAUUCAAUAUUUUU